This 759-nucleotide ribosomal RNA is filed under the name uncultured Thermotogales bacterium. RNAcentral describes it as "bacterial SSU rRNA". It matches the Rfam family "Bacterial small subunit ribosomal RNA", at positions 580 to 1335 of the family's 1533-position model. Lineage: Bacteria; Thermotogati; Thermotogota; Thermotogae; Thermotogales. The record is from RNAcentral.
CUAAAGGGUCAUAUGUUAAAAGAUACGGCUUAACCGUAGAGAUGCGUAUGAAACCGUUAGACUUGAGGGUAGCAGAGGAAAAGGGAAUUACCACUGUAGGGGUGAAAUCCGUAGAGAGUGGUAAGAAUGCCGGUGGCGAAGGCGCUUUUCUGGGUUACACCUGACGCUGAGGCCCGAAAGCCAGGGGAGCGAACCGGAUUAGAUACCCGGGUAGUCCUGGCCGUAAACGAUGCUCACUAGGUGUAGUAGGUCGACAGGCCUGCUGUGCUGAAGCAAACGCGAUAAGUGAGCCGCCUGGGGAGUACGUCCGCAAGGAUGAAACUCAAAGGAAUUGACGGGGGCCCGCACAAGCGGUGGAGCGUGUGGUUCAAUUCGAAGCUAAGCGAAGAACCUCACCAGGUCUUGACAUAUAAGUGGUAGUGAAGGGAAACCGGAACGACUCUGGCUUUGCCAGAGAGCUUAUACAGGUGGUGCAUGGUCGUCGUCAGCUCGUGCCGUGAGGUGUUGGGUUAAGUCCCGCAACGAGCGCAACCCCUGUUAUUAGUUGCCAGCACGAAGGUGGGCACUCUAAUAAGACUGCCGUCGAAGAGACGGAGGAAGGAGGGGACGACGUCAGAUCAUCAUGCCCCUUAUGAUCUGGGCUACACACGCGCUACAAUGGGUUAGUCAACGGGCGAAGCCGCGAGGCGGAGGGAAUCCUGAAACUAACCCCCAGUUCAGAUUGCAGGCUGCAACCCGCCUGCAUGAAGCCGGAAUCGC